UACAGAGGGUGCAAGCGUUGUUCGGAAUUAUUGGGCGUAAAGCGCGUGUAGGCGGCUUUGCAAGUGGCGGGUGAAAUCCCUCGGCUUAACCGAGGAACUGCCUGCCAGACUGUGAGGCUUGAGACCGGGAGAGGUGAGUGGAAUUCCCAGUGUAGCGGUGAAAUGCGUAGAUAUUGGGAGGAACACCAGUGGCGAAGGCGGCUCACUGGACCGGAACUGACGCUGAGGCGCGAAAGCGUGGGGAGCAAACAGG
Molecule: ribosomal RNA, 253 nt
Filed under: uncultured bacterium
Lineage: Bacteria
Description: partial 16S ribosomal RNA
Rfam family: Bacterial small subunit ribosomal RNA
Source: RNAcentral